GGCCCUGUAGCUUAGCCUGGUGAACUUUUACAAACAGUUCAAUCAAAAGAACUUUGUAAAAGGUUGGGCAAUAGAGCGCUGCUCUUAUAAAGCAGAGGUCCCGGAUUCAAAUACGGUCAUUAACAUUUGCGAAUCUGGAUGUUGCCGUUUGAAUGUUCCGGCAGGGCCA
RNAcentral lists this transfer RNA (169 nucleotides) under Candidatus Woesearchaeota archaeon. Its description in RNAcentral is "tRNA-Ile". Lineage: Archaea; Nanobdellati; Candidatus Woesearchaeota. The record is from RNAcentral.